UUCGUGCCGUUGGACAGUUGAGGACGGUUAAAAAAAUUAGGAAAAAAAGCGGACAGUUGAGCGCUUUCUUUCUCUUUUUUUAUGAAUAAAGUGGACUUGAACAGUUGGCUUUUUUCCCAAACAAAAGGUCAGUGGUCCAGUGAAGGUCAGAUGAGGAAUGAAUGGGGCAACACAUCAGAACAGCCAGAGACCUCACUACCUUCAGCACUGGAGAAGGAAAACUCCCCACCUGUGGUUCACCUGUGGUUACCGGCACAUAUAAGAAGACCCCUAUACAAGCCACCAAUGCCAAUAUGCAUGUGUAUGUUCUAACCAUCCUUGAAGACAUUAAGGAGACUCAGAGGGUUCACAGUUGAAUGCUACAGCCUCUCCUGAAACAAUGUGAAGGAUCAGUCGCUGAGGUUUUGUUUUGCCUCUCUGGACUGGCACUGAUGGUAUUAAACUUGUUUCUACA
Long non-coding RNA from Gambusia affinis (western mosquitofish), 454 nucleotides. RefSeq lists it as uncharacterized. NCBI's taxonomy places the organism in Eukaryota, Metazoa, Chordata, Actinopteri, Cyprinodontiformes, Poeciliidae. The record is from RefSeq and is a predicted model, not a curated record. The transcript has 2 exons.